CACACACACACACACACACACACACACACACACACACACAUACGCAUACAGACACAAAUCCGUACUAUAUAAACAUAUGGAAAUGUAUUUUGUCGAGAAAUUGAUCUUUGUAACGUCGCGCAACUUUCAAAGUGGAUUGUAAAUAAAGAGCGAUUUGCAAAUGAAUGAGAAUAAAGACUGACCAAUCAAUCAGGUACCUCUUAUUCACCAAUCACCUGUCUGUAAUAUUAUGAUCCAAUUAAUAUCUUUUAUAUUUCUGGGUAAAAAUUACUAUACCACAAUGUAUGAAUAUUAGUCAACUGCGUCCAAGUGACAGAUGUCUUAAAUUUAUAUUCUAGGAUAGUUUCAGUCUGUACACCCCCGCCACACACAUA
Molecule: long non-coding RNA, 374 nt
Organism: Octopus sinensis (East Asian common octopus)
Lineage: Eukaryota; Metazoa; Mollusca; Cephalopoda; Octopoda; Octopodidae
Exons: 2
Source: RefSeq, a predicted model, not a curated record